RNAcentral lists this ribosomal RNA (349 nucleotides) under uncultured bacterium. RNAcentral's name for it is "bacterial SSU rRNA". It matches the Rfam family "Bacterial small subunit ribosomal RNA", at positions 18 to 344 of the family's 1533-position model. The record is from RNAcentral.
CAUGGCUCAGGACGAACGCUGGCGGCGUGCUUAACACAUGCAAGUCGAACGAAGAGCGAUGGAAGCUUGCUUCUAUCAAUCUUAGUGGCGAACGGGUGAGUAACGCGUAAUCAACCUGCCCUUCAGAGGGGGACAACAGUUGGAAACGACUGCUAAUACCGCAUACGAUCUAAUCUCGGCAUCGAGGAUAGAUGAAAGGUGGCCUCUACAUGUAAGCUAUCACUGAAGGAGGGGAUUGCGUCUGAUUAGCUAGUUGGAGGGGUAACGGCCCACCAAGGCGAUGAUCAGUAGCCGGUCUGAGAGGAUGAACGGCCACAUUGGGACUGAGACACGGCCCAGACUCCUACGG